GUAAAUUGAAGGCCAGAGACAGGAAUUUGCCUAAAUCACAGAGUCUCACUUUGUCAUCCAGUCUGGAGUGCGAUGGCAUGAUCUCAGCUCACUGCAGCCUCCGUCUCCCGGGUUCAAGCAAUUCUCCUGCCUCACCCUCUCUAGUAGCUGGGAUUACAGAGCAUCAAAAUAUUAUUUUUGUUUAUGUGGCCCCAGGACAGAUGAAACUUGUACUGGUGCAAAAAUCCAUCCCAGUCAUAACCAUUAGUCAUGAUAACGGACUUAAUGUCAUUGACAUACUUGAAACGGACUAUGAUAAUUAUAUAUAUUUUUAUAACAAGAAUAUCAAGAAUGGGGAAACAUUCCUAAUGCUGGAGCUCUAUGUUCGAACACCGGAUGUGAGCUCACAACUCAAGGAGAGGUUUGUGAAAUAUUGUGAAGAACAUGGGAUUGAUAAGGAAAACAUAUUUGACUUGACCAAAGUUGAUCGCUGUCUCCAGGCCCGAGAUGAGGGAGCAGCCUAGGACUCCGGGUUGGUGAUCUCUGACACCGGUGGAGAGAGGGUGGCCCAGGGACCAGUGCCUUCCAAAAGCAUUAGGGGUUUGCACCCAAAGAUACCAUAAAAAUAAUUUGGUAGGAAAGCUUGUGGGAAAAUCUUGAAAUCUGGAGUUGGAAGACCUGGAUAGAGGACCCAAUUCUCCCAUAAGCUUUGAGCAAAUAACCUAAGACUUAAAAAGGAGACAAUGGGCCAGGUACAGUGGCUCACACCUGUAAUCCCAGCACUUAGGGAGGCAGUGGCAGGAGGAUCGCUUGAGCCCAGGAGCCCAAGACCAGCCUGGGCAACAUAAUGAGAUACCAUUCUCCAUGAAAGGGAGAAAAAAAAAAGAAGAGGAAACAAUGAUGCCUAGUUUACAGAGUUGCUGUGUAGAUAUAAUGCUUGCGAAAAGGGCCCAGUAAUUGAAGAUGUGCUAAAAAUCACUAGGAUUUCACGUUCGAAAUGGAAAAAGUAGUAGGUUGUAUGAAACUCAAAUAUGUUUCUGUGUUUGUGGACCAACUCCCAGGAGGCCAUCUCACCCUCCAACUUAUAAUCCACAUUUCUUCUUCUGUACUCUGUAUGUCCUUGACGUCUAACCUGGGAAUGGAACUGUCUUCCCAUUUUCCACAAACCUGGAAAAUAGAUCUUGAGUUUUCUCAACUACCUUAGAUUUAUCGUGGGGCUUUCAGAUAAUGUAUGUGAAAGUCUUAGCAGCUUGCAUAAAGCAAAUAUUUAAUAAGAGAUAUCUACAGAUUUUGCCAUUAUUCCUCAAUUUAUCAAAAAUUCUUCAAAACUUCUGAUGUUGAAGAUGGCAGAAACAAACCUGGGACCCUUUAUUACUUCCUUUCUCUUUUUCAUGUAUUCAGCUGAGAGAAGGUUAAGAUGGCAUUAGCAAUAGCAAAAAAGCAAAAGUCAUUUACUCAACAUCCUCCCUCCCCCUUUUCUGGUAUACAACAUAAGUUAGAAUACAGGGUCAGAACUAUUUCUUCAUCAUUUUUCUCUGUAAUAGAAUUUCUCUUCAUCAUUCAUGCAAUGCAAGGAAUGUUUAAUAAGUUCCUGUGUUCUCUCUCUUCUCUGCUUAAUUAGUGCUGAGUGAAUGAGUGAUGAGUGAAUGAGUGAAUGCUGAGUGCUGAGUGAAUGUUUCCUCACCUGGACUCCAGUAUCUUCCCUUCCUGAUCCCCAUGUCCUCUUAUGACAAGUUCUGUGACCUGAUUUCCAUCAUAUCACACAUGAAGACGUCAUCCCUGCAUCUUUAGGAUCUUCCCUAACUGCCUAAGAAGACUCAGAAAUUCACCAAGAAUCAAAGGUUUUCUUUGAAUUUCUGACUGUCUUUGUCACAGCCAGGGGAACUCUACAUGAAUAACACCUGACUCUACAUGAUCAAUAAAUCAUUAACCUUGC
Molecule: long non-coding RNA, 1915 nt
Filed under: Homo sapiens (human)
Lineage: Eukaryota; Metazoa; Chordata; Mammalia; Primates; Hominidae
Description: novel transcript
Source: RNAcentral